Molecule: ribosomal RNA, 430 nt
Filed under: Chloroflexota bacterium
Lineage: Bacteria; Bacillati; Chloroflexota
Description: Chloroflexi bacterium partial 16S ribosomal RNA
Rfam family: Bacterial small subunit ribosomal RNA
Source: RNAcentral
UAGGGAAUCUUCGGCAAUGGACGCAAGUCUGACCGAGCAACGCCGCGUGAGUGAAGAAGGUUUUCGGAUCGUAAAACUCUGUUGUUAGAGAAGAACAAGGAUGAGAGUAGAAUGUUCAUCCCUUGACGGUAUCUAACCAGAAAGCCACGGCUAACUACGUGCCAGCAGCCGCGGUAAUACGUAGGUGGCAAGCGUUGUCCGGAUUUAUUGGGCGUAAAGCGAGCGCAGGCGGUUUCUUAAGUCUGAUGUGAAAGCCCCCGGCUCAACCGGGGAGGGUCAUUGGAAACUGGGAAACUUGAGUGCAGAAGAGGAGAGUGGAAUUCCAUGUGUAGCGGUGAAAUGCGUAGAUAUAUGGAGGAACACCAGUGGCGAAGGCGGCUCUCUGGUCUGUAACUGACGCUGAGGCUCGAAAGCGUGGGGAGCGAACAGG